AGAGUUUGAUCCUGGCUCAGAACGAACGCUGGCGGCAGGCUUAACACAUGCAAGUCGAACGCUCGUAGCAAUACGGGAGUGGCAGACGGGUGAGUAACGCGUGGGAACAUACCCUCCGGUUCGGAAUAGCUCAGGGAAACUUGGAUUAAUACCGGAUACGGCUGAGAGGCGAAAGAUUUAUCGCCGGAGGAUUGGCCCGCGUUCGAUUAGCUAGUUGGUGAGGUAACGGCUCACCAAGGCGAUGAUCGAUAGCUGGUCUGAGAGGAUGAUCAGCCACAUUGGGACUGAGACACGGCCCAAACUCCUACGGAAGGCAGCAGUGGGGAAUAUUGGACAAUGGGCGCAAGCCUGAUCCAGCCAUGCCGCGUGAGUGAUGACGGCCUUAGGGUUGUAAAGCU
Molecule: ribosomal RNA, 398 nt
Filed under: uncultured bacterium
Lineage: Bacteria
Description: bacterial SSU rRNA
Rfam family: Bacterial small subunit ribosomal RNA
Source: RNAcentral